Molecule: non-coding RNA, 74 nt
Organism: Mycobacterium ulcerans Agy99
Lineage: Bacteria; Bacillati; Actinomycetota; Actinomycetes; Mycobacteriales; Mycobacteriaceae
Source: Rfam
CUUGAUCAGAGUUUCUGGACUUUCAGAUCAUCCACGGGAGGGUGCGCCCACUUUCACGCCCCCUCACCAAAGCU